This 292-nucleotide long non-coding RNA is filed under the name Ictidomys tridecemlineatus (thirteen-lined ground squirrel). RNAcentral's name for it is "lncRNA (ENSSTOG00000034182.1)". The record is from RNAcentral. Lineage: Eukaryota; Metazoa; Chordata; Mammalia; Rodentia; Sciuridae.
CAUCAAGCCUCUAGUGAGUGACCCUAAAGGAUUCUUGCAGCAGCACAUCCGGAGAGACUUGGAGCAGUUGACAAAGACGCUGGGGAAGAGUGAUGAUGAGACCACCCAUGUGGUCCACCUCAGCUGCCUUCUCAAAGAGCAGCACCCACUCCCUGACUGGAGACAUUUAAAUUUUGAUGCAAAAUUGUCAAAAAAAGGACAUAGAAACAAUUGGGAAAAACAUGUCAAAGCUCUUCUUCUACCUGAACUGGAGGUAAGUGGUGAGUGGUGACCACUCCUUAUCCCUCUGUCC